GCUCGGCGGCUGAGCAAGGGGGGUGGGCGGAAUGUAGGGGGAAGGGAAGGUGACUGUGCCUGGAGGGCCGAGCCGCCCGGCCUCGCCAGCCCGCCGCCGCCUCAGCGUUUGGCCGGGGGCGGGGCCGCAGAUGCUUCCCUCUCCAGACCCUAGGCCAGAAGAAACAAUGUACUAUUGUUGAUGUCAAUGAAAUACUUAACAAAUCCGAGCUGGUAAUAACUCUAAGACUUUGAGAAGAAGGAUGCCCAGUAGAGAUAAUUGAUUUUACAUUACAAGGAAUUUAGUCCUAAGGGUUAUGCUAAACAUGAGAAUAACCUACAAGUCAUUUGUCAUGAAUAAAUGCAAAGAUCUCUGGAUAUCUUGUGGUAUAAGAUCUUGAGUAGUGAUAUAUUACUGCUGAUGGGUUUCUAUCUGCUGCUGUGAGCGUAUUUUCAGGCUCAGGUGCAGAACUAAGCUGAGGGGUAUGAGAUUUGUAGUAAAAAAUUAUUGGAAGUAGGCAAGUGGUCAUAGACUAAGGGUUCACAAUAGGAUGCAGUCACUUUAAGGACAAUUUUGAAGAAAAAAUGCUGAUGGUGAAAGAAAUGCAAAAACCACAAACACAUCAAAGAGGUUCAUAUUCCUGGGAACAAAAAGGAAGGUCGGAAAGGAUCUGCUUAUAGAAAACAUAUUAAUCUUGGGACGCUGUCCUUUUGCGUCUUGCCCCCCAUCAUUUCAGGUCACUUAGCUUAGACUGCUUUUCAGCUGAAAAAAGCAAAUGAUACCCUUGCAAGGACUCUGCACAACAUUAUAGGAAUUCAGCUGUUUUAUUUUUACAACUAUUAAAGCAUGGUUUAACGGUUACAUGAAUAGAAGUUCCUUAUAAAUGGCAGUAACUUCUCUCCAGAGAUGCAGUGCUCAAGAUUCUGUUCAUUGACAUACAAAAUGCUCUUCAUGAUCAAUUGUUUUACUUAUUAGAAUUUAACUCUUUCUCAGACGAUUUAAUACAAACCGUGGCAAACAGCUGAUUAUUCGACAAAAUCCAUUUCCUCUUCUUCCCAGACACAAAGCUUGACUAUGCUUUCCAGCUGCCCUUGUCAUUAAAUUGGGCCAUAUGACUGAGUUCUAGCCAGGGGAGUGUGAGUAGAAGUAAUGUUUGCCACUUGGAGGGCUGAAAUCUUGAAUGCAUGCUGACUGAGAUGGAAGUGACAGAGUGACCUUAGAUGCCAUGUGUUGUUCACGAAGGUGGAACCCCCAUCUGCCUGGGCCUCUAUGGAGAGCUGUUCUACCAACCUAUUCACUUGCUUAUCAGGAGACAGAGUGUGACCAAGAUAGAAACUUUUAGAUACUGUACCGUUACAUGUUUGUUUAUUUGUUACUGCAGCCUAGGCUAACCAAUACACUAAUAAAACUUUUUUCAGUCUUA
Molecule: long non-coding RNA, 1402 nt
Organism: Orcinus orca (killer whale)
Lineage: Eukaryota; Metazoa; Chordata; Mammalia; Artiodactyla; Delphinidae
Exons: 2
Source: RefSeq, a predicted model, not a curated record